UUUCCGUAGGUGAACCUGCGGAAGGAUCAUUACUGAGUGAGGGACCUCUGGAUCCCACCUCCCACCCGUGUUUUUUUUACUUUGUUGCUUCGGUGAGCCCGCCUCACGGCUGCCGGGGGGCAUCUGCCCCCGGGCCCGCGCCAACCGAAGACACCUAGAACUCUGUAUGAAGAUUGCAGUCUGAGCAAAAAAUAAAUAAGUUAAAACUUUCAACAACGGAUCUCUUGGUUCCG
This 233-nucleotide unclassified non-coding RNA is filed under the name plant metagenome. RNAcentral's name for it is "partial contains small subunit ribosomal RNA, internal transcribed spacer 1, and 5.8S ribosomal RNA". The record is from RNAcentral.